Molecule: long non-coding RNA, 303 nt
Filed under: Homo sapiens (human)
Lineage: Eukaryota; Metazoa; Chordata; Mammalia; Primates; Hominidae
Description: HSALNT0216756
Source: RNAcentral
GGGCCUUUCAGGUCCAGCUUGGGGCCCUUGACAUCUAUCUGGGGGCCCUUGAGAUCUACUUUGGGCAUCUUGAAACUGGGCAUCUGCAGCUUGGGCAGGUGCCCUUUGAGGCCGACUUCCUCGGGCACAGGGCCCUCCAGGAGUUUCACGUCCACCUGGCCAGCCUGGACCUUCACGUCGGCGGAAAGGGGCUGAAUGCUGAGGUCAGUGGUCUUCAGGUCCCCCUGCAUGGAGGGGAGACUCACGUCGGCCUCCACCUUGGGUGCAGGCACAUCCACCGAGGCCUCGAUGGACCUCCCUGGG